AUACGGAGGGUGCAAGCGUUAAUCGGAAUUACUGGGCGUAAAGCGUGCGUAGGUGGUUUGUUAAGUCAGAUGUGAAAGCCCCGGGCUCAACCUGGGAGCUGCAUUUGAAACUGGCAUACUAGAGUAUAGGAGAGGAAAGUGGAAUUUCAGGUGUAGCGGUGAAAUGCGUAGAUAUCUGAAGGAACAUCAAUGGCGAAGGCAGCUUUCUGGACUAAUACUGACACUGAGGUACGAAAGCGUGGGUAGCAAACAGGAUUAGAAACCCUAGUAGUCC
Molecule: ribosomal RNA, 274 nt
Filed under: uncultured bacterium
Lineage: Bacteria
Description: partial 16S ribosomal RNA
Rfam family: Bacterial small subunit ribosomal RNA
Source: RNAcentral